RNAcentral lists this ribosomal RNA (129 nucleotides) under Escherichia coli. RNAcentral describes it as "partial 16S ribosomal RNA". It matches the Rfam family "Bacterial small subunit ribosomal RNA", at positions 1417 to 1533 of the family's 1533-position model. The record is from RNAcentral. Lineage: Bacteria; Pseudomonadati; Pseudomonadota; Gammaproteobacteria; Enterobacterales; Enterobacteriaceae.
GCACAAGAAGUAGGUAGCUUAACCUUCGGGAGGGCGCUUACCACUUUGUGAUUCAUGACUGGGGUGAAGUCGUAACAAGGUAACCGUAGGGGAACCUGCGGUUGGAUCACCUCCUUACCUUAAAGAAGC